RNAcentral lists this ribosomal RNA (233 nucleotides) under uncultured bacterium. Its description in RNAcentral is "partial 16S ribosomal RNA". It matches the Rfam family "Bacterial small subunit ribosomal RNA", at positions 524 to 753 of the family's 1533-position model. The record is from RNAcentral.
UACGUAGGGUGCAAGCGUUGUCCGGAAUUAUUGGGCGUAAAGAGCUCGUAGGCGGUCUGUCGCGUCUGCUGUGAAAACUCAGGGCUUAACCCUGAGCUUGCAGUGGGUACGGGCAGACUAGAGUGCGGUAGGGGAGACUGGAAUUCCUGGUGUAGCGGUGAAAUGCGCAGAUAUCAGGGAGGGAACACCGGUGGCGAAGGCGGGUCUCUGGGCCGUAACUGACGCUGGAGGAG